GAUGAACGCUGGCGGCGUGCCUAAUACAUGCAAGUCGAGCGAACAGACGAGGAGCUUGCUCCUCUGACGUUAGCGGCGGACGGGUGAGUAACACGUGGAUAACCUACCUAUAAGGCUGGGAUAACUUCGGGAAACCGGAGCUAAUACCGGAUAAUAUAUUGAACCGCAUGGUUCAAUAGUGAAAGACGGUUUUGCUGUCACUUAUAGAUGGAUCCGCGCCGCAUUAGCUAGUUGGUAAGGUAACGGCUUACCAAGGCAACGAUGCGUAGCCGACCUGAGAGGGUGAUCGGCCACACUGGAACUGAGACACGGUCCAGACUCCUACGGGAGGCAGCAGUAGGGAAUCUUCCGCAAUGGGCGAAAGCUUGACGGAGCAACGCCGCGUGAGUGGUGAAGGUCUUCGGAUCGUAAAACUCUGUUAUUAGGGAAGAACAAAUGUGUAAGUAACUAUGCACGUCUUGACGGUACCUAAUCAGAAAGCCACGGCUAACUACGUG
This 497-nucleotide ribosomal RNA is filed under the name uncultured bacterium. RNAcentral describes it as "partial 16S ribosomal RNA". It matches the Rfam family "Bacterial small subunit ribosomal RNA", at positions 28 to 507 of the family's 1533-position model. The record is from RNAcentral.